Molecule: ribosomal RNA, 1094 nt
Filed under: Nocardia sp.
Lineage: Bacteria; Bacillati; Actinomycetota; Actinomycetes; Mycobacteriales; Nocardiaceae
Also listed under: 2 other names
Description: bacterial SSU rRNA
Rfam family: Bacterial small subunit ribosomal RNA
Source: RNAcentral
ACUGAGACACGGCCCAGACUCCUACGGGAGGCAGCAGUGGGGAAUAUUGCACAAUGGGCGAAAGCCUGAUGCAGCGACGCCGCGUGAGGGAUGACGGCCUUCGGGUUGUAAACCUCUUUCGACAGGGACGAAGCGCAAGUGACGGUACCUGUAGAAGAAGCACCGGCCAACUACGUGCCAGCAGCCGCGGUAAUACGUAGGGUGCGAGCGUUGUCCGGAAUUACUGGGCGUAAAGAGCUUGUAGGCGGUUCGUCGCGUCGUUCGUGAAAACUUGGGGCUCAACCCCAAGCUUGCGGGCGAUACGGGCGGACUAGAGUACUUCAGGGGAGACUGGAAUUCCUGGUGUAGCGGUGAAAUGCGCAGAUAUCAGGAGGAACACCGGUGGCGAAGGCGGGUCUCUGGGAAGUAACUGACGCUGAGAAGCGAAAGCGUGGGUAGCGAACAGGAUUAGAUACCCUGGUAGUCCACGCCGUAAACGGUGGGUACUAGGUGUGGGUUUCCUUCCACGGGAUCCGUGCCGUAGCUAACGCAUUAAGUACCCCGCCUGGGGAGUACGGCCGCAAGGCUAAAACUCAAAGGAAUUGACGGGGGCCCGCACAAGCGGCGGAGCAUGUGGAUUAAUUCGAUGCAACGCGAAGAACCUUACCUGGGUUUGACAUACACCGGAAACCUGCAGAGAUGUAGGCCCCCUUGUGGUCGGUGUACAGGUGGUGCAUGGCUGUCGUCAGCUCGUGUCGUGAGAUGUUGGGUUAAGUCCCGCAACGAGCGCAACCCUUAUCUUAUGUUGCCAGCGCGUAAUGGCGGGGACUCGUGAGAGACUGCCGGGGUCAACUCGGAGGAAGGUGGGGACGACGUCAAGUCAUCAUGCCCCUUAUGUCCAGGGCUUCACACAUGCUACAAUGGCCGGUACAGAGGGCUGCGAUACCGUGAGGUGGAGCGAAUCCCUUAAAGCCGGUCUCAGUUCGGAUCGGGGUCUGCAACUCGACCCCGUGAAGUUGGAGUCGCUAGUAAUCGCAGAUCAGCAACGCUGCGGUGAAUACGUUCCCGGGCCUUGUACACACCGCCCGUCACGUCAUGAAAGUCGGUAACACCCG